UCCUACGGGAGGCAGCAGUGGGGAAUUUUGGACAAUGGGCGAAAGCCUGAUCCAGCAAUGCCGCGUGUGUGAAGAAGGCCUUCGGGUUGUAAAGCACUUUUGUCCGGAAAGAAAUCCUUGGCUCUAAUACAGUCGGGGGAUGACGGUACCGGAAGAAUAAGCACCGGCUAACUACGUGCCAGCAGCCGCGGUAAUACGUAGGGUGCGAGCGUUAAUCGGAAUUACUGGGCGUAAAGCGUGCGCAGGCGGUUUGCUAAGACCGAUGUGAAAUCCCCGGGCUCAACCUGGGAACUGCAUUGGUGACUGGCAGGCUAGAGUAUGGCAGAGGGGGGUAGAAUUCCACGUGUAGCAGUGAAAUGCGUAGAGAUGUGGAGGAAUACCGAUAGCGAAGGCAGCCCCCUGGGCCAAUACUGACGCUCAUGCACGAAAGCGUGGGGAGCAAACAGGAUUAGAUACCCUGGUAGUCCACGCCCUAAACGAUGUCAACUAGUUGUUGGGGAUUCAUUUCCUUAGUAACGUAGCUAACGCGUGAAGUUGACCGCCUGGGGAGUACGGUCGCAAGAUUAAAACUCAAAGGAAUUGACGGGGACCCGCACAAGCGGUGGAUGAUGUGGAUUAAUUCGAUGCAACGCGAAAAACCUUACCUACCCUUGACAUGGUCGGAAUCCCGCUGAGAGGUGGGAGUGCUCGAAAGAGAACCGGCGCACAGGUGCUGCAUGGCUGUCGUCAGCUCGUGUCGUGAGAUGUUGGGUUAAGUCCCGCAACGAGCGCAACCCUUGUCCUUAGUUGCUACGCAAGAGCACUCUAAGGAGACUGCCGGUGACAAACCGGAGGAAGGUGGGGAUGACGUCAAGUCCUCGUGGCCCUUAUGGGUAGGGCUUCACACGUCAUACAAUGGCCGGAACAGAGGGUUGCCAACCCGCGAGGGGGAGCUAAUCCCAGAAAACCGAUCGUAGUCCGGAUUGCACUCUGCAACUCGAGUGCAAGAAGCUGGAAUCGCUAGUAAUCGCGGAUCAGC
This 1018-nucleotide ribosomal RNA is filed under the name uncultured Burkholderia sp. Its description in RNAcentral is "bacterial SSU rRNA". It matches the Rfam family "Bacterial small subunit ribosomal RNA", at positions 337 to 1353 of the family's 1533-position model. Lineage: Bacteria; Pseudomonadati; Pseudomonadota; Betaproteobacteria; Burkholderiales; Burkholderiaceae. The record is from RNAcentral.